Molecule: ribosomal RNA, 465 nt
Filed under: Vreelandella stevensii
Lineage: Bacteria; Pseudomonadati; Pseudomonadota; Gammaproteobacteria; Oceanospirillales; Halomonadaceae
Description: partial 16S ribosomal RNA
Rfam family: Bacterial small subunit ribosomal RNA
Source: RNAcentral
CCUACGGGUGGCAGCAGUGGGGAAUAUUGGACAAUGGGGGGAACCCUGAUCCAGCCAUGCCGCGUGUGUGAAGAAGGCCCUCGGGUUGUAAAGCACUUUCAGUGAGGAAGAACGCCUGGUGGUUAAUACCCAUCAGGAAAGACAUCACUCACAGAAGAAGCACCGGCUAACUCCGUGCCAGCAGCCGCGGUAAUACGGAGGGUGCGAGCGUUAAUCGGAAUUACUGGGCGUAAAGCGCGCGUAGGUGGCUUGAUAAGCCGGUUGUGAAAGCCCCGGGCUCAACCUGGGAACGGCAUCCGGAACUGUCAAGCUAGAGUGCAGGAGAGGAAGGUAGAAUUCCUGGUGUAGCGGUGAAAUGCGUAGAGAUCGGGAGGAAUACCAGUGGCGAAGGCGGCCUUCUGGACUGACACUGACACUGAGGUGCGAAAGCGUGGGUAGCAAACAGGAUUAGAUACCCGAGUAGUC